GCCGAAGUGGUGGAACUGGUAGACGCGCUGCGUUCAGGGCGCAGUGGGCGCAAGCCCGUGGGGGUUCGAGUCCCCCCUUCGGCA
Molecule: transfer RNA, 84 nt
Filed under: Thermoplasmata archaeon
Lineage: Archaea; Methanobacteriati; Thermoplasmatota; Thermoplasmata
Also listed under: 9 other names
Description: tRNA-Leu
Rfam family: tRNA
About the family: Transfer RNA (tRNA) molecules are approximately 80 nucleotides in length. Their secondary structure includes four short double-helical elements and three loops (D, anti-codon, and T loops).
Source: RNAcentral